Molecule: ribosomal RNA, 1161 nt
Filed under: Bacillus subtilis subsp. subtilis
Lineage: Bacteria; Bacillati; Bacillota; Bacilli; Caryophanales; Bacillaceae
Description: bacterial SSU rRNA
Rfam family: Bacterial small subunit ribosomal RNA
Source: RNAcentral
AAUACCGGAUGGUUGUUUGAACCGCAUGGUUCAAACAUAAAAGGUGGCUUCGGCUACCACUUACAGAUGGACCCGCGGCGCAUUAGCUAGUUGGUGAGGUAACGGCUCACCAAGGCGACGAUGCGUAGCCGACCUGAGAGGGUGAUCGGCCACACUGGGACUGAGACACGGCCCAGACUCCUACGGGAGGCAGCAGUAGGGAAUCUUCCGCAAUGGACGAAAGUCUGACGGAGCAACGCCGCGUGAGUGAUGAAGGUUUUCGGAUCGUAAAGCUCUGUUGUUAGGGAAGAACAAGUACCGUUCGAAUAGGGCGGUACCUUGACGGUACCUAACCAGAAAGCCACGGCUAACUACGUGCCAGCAGCCGCGGUAAUACGUAGGUGGCAAGCGUUGUCCGGAAUUAUUGGGCGUAAAGGGCUCGCAGGCGGUUUCUUAAGUCUGAUGUGAAAGCCCCCGGCUCAACCGGGGAGGGUCAUUGGAAACUGGGGAACUUGAGUGCAGAAGAGGAGAGUGGAAUUCCACGUGUAGCGGUGAAAUGCGUAGAGAUGUGGAGGAACACCAGUGGCGAAGGCGACUCUCUGGUCUGUAACUGACGCUGAGGAGCGAAAGCGUGGGGAGCGAACAGGAUUAGAUACCCUGGUAGUCCACGCCGUAAACGAUGAGUGCUAAGUGUUAGGGGGUUUCCGCCCCUUAGUGCUGCAGCUAACGCAUUAAGCACUCCGCCUGGGGAGUACGGUCGCAAGACUGAAACUCAAAGGAAUUGACGGGGGCCCGCACAAGCGGUGGAGCAUGUGGUUUAAUUCGAAGCAACGCGAAGAACCUUACCAGGUCUUGACAUCCUCUGACAAUCCUAGAGAUAGGACGUCCCCUUCGGGGGCAGAGUGACAGGUGGUGCAUGGUUGUCGUCAGCUCGUGUCGUGAGAUGUUGGGUUAAGUCCCGCAACGAGCGCAACCCUUGAUCUUAGUUGCCAGCAUUCAGUUGGGCACUCUAAGGUGACUGCCGGUGACAAACCGGAGGAAGGUGGGGAUGACGUCAAAUCAUCAUGCCCCUUAUGACCUGGGCUACACACGUGCUACAAUGGACAGAACAAAGGGCAGCGAAACCGCGAGGUUAAGCCAAUCCCACAAAUCUGUUCUCAGUUCGGAUCGCAGUCUGCAACU